Molecule: ribosomal RNA, 529 nt
Filed under: uncultured bacterium
Lineage: Bacteria
Description: partial 16S ribosomal RNA
Rfam family: Bacterial small subunit ribosomal RNA
Source: RNAcentral
UGGGGAAUUUUGGACAAUGGGCGAAAGCCUGAUCCAGCAAUGCCGCGUGUGUGAAGAAGGCCUUCGGGUUGUAAAGCACUUUUGUCCGGAAAGAAAUCCUUGGCUCUAAUACAGUCGGGGGAUGACGGUACCGGAAGAAUAAGCACCGGCUAACUACGUGCCAGCAGCCGCGGUAAUACGUAGGGUGCAAGCGUUAAUCGGAAUUACUGGGCGUAAAGCGUGCGCAGGCGGUUUGCUAAGACCGAUGUGAAAUCCCCGGGCUCAACCUGGGAACUGCAUUGGUGACUGGCAGGCUAGAGUAUGGCAGAGGGGGGUAGAAUUCCACGUGUAGCAGUGAAAUGCGUAGAGAUGUGGAGGAAUACCGAUGGCGAAGGCAGCCCCCUGGGCCAAUACUGACGCUCAUGCACGGAAGCGUGGGGAGCAAAACAGGAUUAGAUACCCUGGUAGUCCACGCCCUAAAACGAUGUCAACUAGUUGUUGGGGGAUUCAUUUCCUUAGUAACGUAGCUAACGCGUGAAGUUGACCGCCU